UCAUGGUAUUGCCCAGUAGCGGCGAGUGAGCGGCAAGAGCUCAGAUUUGGAAUCGUGUUUCGGCACGAGUUGUAAAUUGCAGGUUGGAGUCUUUGUGGAAGCGUGUGUCCAAGUCCCUUGGAACAGGGCGCCAUUGAGGGUGAGAGCCCCGUGGGAUGCGCGCGGAAGCAGCAAGGCCCUUCUGACGAGUCGAGUUGUUUGGGAAUGCAGCUCUAAGCGGGUGGUAAAUUCCAUCUAAGGCUAAAUACUGGCGAGAGACCGAUAGCGAACAAGUACUGUGAAGGAAAGAUGAAAAGCACUUUGAAAAGAGAGUGAAACAGCACGUGAAAUUGUUGAAAGGGAAGGGUAUUGGGCCCGACAUGGGGAUUGCGCAUCUCUGCUCCUUGUGGGCGGGGCGCUGUGCUUUUCCUGGGCCAGCAUCGGUUUUUGCCGCAGGAGAAGGGGUACUGGAAUGUGGCUCCUCGGAGUGUUAUAGCCAGUGCCAGAUGCUGCGUGCGGGGACCGAGGGCUGCGACAUCUGUCUCGGAUGCUGGCACAACGGCGCAAUACCGCCCGUCUUAAAA
RNAcentral lists this ribosomal RNA (563 nucleotides) under Pichia pseudolambica. RNAcentral describes it as "eukaryotic LSU rRNA". It matches the Rfam family "Eukaryotic large subunit ribosomal RNA", at positions 67 to 659 of the family's 3401-position model. The record is from RNAcentral. Lineage: Eukaryota; Fungi; Ascomycota; Pichiomycetes; Pichiales; Pichiaceae.